Non-coding RNA from Pelobates cultripes (western spadefoot toad), 697 nucleotides. The record is from the annotation of a GenBank genome assembly. NCBI's taxonomy places the organism in Eukaryota, Metazoa, Chordata, Amphibia, Anura, Pelobatidae.
GUACAUAGAACUAUGUUUAAGACUUGAUAACAUUCUGCUACAAAUUAGCAAUAUACUUUUAAUGCUGCUACUUGAUCUGUAUUUGCAAGCAUUCCACUACUUUUGAACUGUGGGGCUGACUACUAUCUAGAGGAAUUGAGUUAUCUGGGUAUCGUUAUAUAUAAGAGGAAUUUCUUUUAGAUUUUAUUUCUCUUUACUUAGAGUAUAUACUUUCGAUUCCAGGUCAUCUCACUAGUGUAGUGAGCAUUUUUUUGCCCGAUUUAUCUACCAUUUAUCUAACGGGCUUACAGCUUGUCACAAACUCCAGGGAAUCACACCUUAUUUACUGGGUGCUAUUCCCAUAAUAGUAGUUUGAUUACAUUUUGUGCAGACAUUUUGGCUCACCAAGGAGCUUCCUGAAAUGUGUUACAUCAUAGAUACUUCAGUAUGACAUGCUACUUUGAACACACAAGCUCCCAGUUACCUAUUGGCUUAUAAUAUUGCCAUAUAGUGAUCCAUAUCUGCCUGACUGCCUCCCAUUGUACUAUUAUAAUCUCACGGACUAUGAGCCAUCCCCCCAUCCCGGACCCCAUGUAUUUUAUCUAGUCUCUACACCGUUUUUCAAUAAAGUAUUUUUUAUUUAUUUUUUUAUUCAUCUUUGUUAACCAGGGGAUUCUAUACCCCCCUAGUGGGCAUACCCUUAGUCGAGUGUAUUGUG